RNAcentral lists this ribosomal RNA (601 nucleotides) under uncultured bacterium. RNAcentral's name for it is "bacterial SSU rRNA". It matches the Rfam family "Bacterial small subunit ribosomal RNA", at positions 327 to 926 of the family's 1533-position model. The record is from RNAcentral.
GGUCGACGAUUCCUACGGGAGGCAGCAGUAAGGAAUAUCUGUGGCAAUGGGCGCAAGCCUGACCCAGCCAUGCCGCGUGCAGGAAGACGGCCUUAUGGGUUGUAAACUGCUUUUGUUAGGGAAUAAACCCCCGUACGUGUACGGGGCUGAAUGUACCUAAAGAAUAAGCAUCGGCUAACUCCGUGCCAGCAGCCGCGGUAAUACGGAGGAUGCAAGCGUUAUCCGGAUUCAUUGGGUUUAAAGGUUGCGCAGGCGGAUGUGUAAGUCAGUGGUGAAAUCCUACGGCUCAACCGUAGAACUGCCAUUGAUACUGCACGUCUUGAGUCUAGUUGAAGUGGGCGGAAUGUAGCAUGUAGCGGUGAAAUGCAUAGAUAUGCUACAGAACACCUAUUGCGAAGGCAGCUCACUAAACUAUAACUGACGCUCAUGCACGAAAGCGUGGGGAGCAAACAGGAUUAGAUACCCUGGUAGUCCACGCCGUAAACGAUGAUCACUCGUUGUUGGCGAUACACAGUCAGCGACCAAGCGAAAGUGAUAAGUGAUCCACCUGGGGAGUACGAUCGCAAGGUUGAAACUCAAAGGAAUUGACGGAAUCUCUAGA